UCCUGUACUAGUUAAGGCCUGUCUGAAUU
This 29-nucleotide non-coding RNA is filed under the name Mus musculus (house mouse). Lineage: Eukaryota; Metazoa; Chordata; Mammalia; Rodentia; Muridae. The record is from RNAcentral.